This 649-nucleotide ribosomal RNA is filed under the name uncultured bacterium. RNAcentral's name for it is "bacterial SSU rRNA". It matches the Rfam family "Bacterial small subunit ribosomal RNA", at positions 9 to 651 of the family's 1533-position model. The record is from RNAcentral.
GAGUUUGAUCCUGGCUCAGAACGAACGCUGGCGGCGCGCUUAACACAUGCAAGUCGAACGAGAAGCUGUAGCAAUACAGUUGUAAAGUGGCAAACGGGUGAGUAAUGCGUGGGUAAUCUACCCUAGGGUGGGGAAUAACUCCUCGAAAGGGGAGCUAAUGCCGACAUGUGCGCCACUCUCGCAAGGGAGUGAUGGAAAGCCGUACCGUGGGUGCGGCGCCCAAGGAUGAGCUCACGUCCUAUCAGCUUGUUGGCGGGGUAACGGCCCACCAAGGCUGCGACGGGUAGCUGGUCUGAGAGGACGACCAGCCACACUGGCACUGCGACACGGGCCAGACUCCUACGGGAGGCAGCAGUGAGGAAUAUUGCGCAAUGGACGACAGUCUGACGCAGCGACGCCGCGUGGGGGAUGAAGGCCUUCGGGUUGUAAACCCCUUUCAGGAGGGAAGAUGGGACGGGUAACCGUUCGGACGGUACCUCCAGAAGCAGCCACGGCUAACUCUGUGCCAGCAGCCGCGGUAAGACAGAGGUGGCAAGCGUUGUUCGGAUUUACUGGGCGUAAAGAGUGCGUAGGUGGUGAGGUAAGAUCUGUGGGAAAGACCUGGGCUUGACCCAGGAAGGUCGCAGAUGACUGCCUCGCUUGAGGACGG